Molecule: ribosomal RNA, 497 nt
Filed under: uncultured bacterium
Lineage: Bacteria
Description: partial 16S ribosomal RNA
Rfam family: Bacterial small subunit ribosomal RNA
Source: RNAcentral
GAUGAACGCUGGCGGCGUGCCUAAUACAUGCAAGUCGAGCGAACGGACGAGAAGCUUGCUUCUCUGAUGUUAGCGGCGGACGGGUGAGUAACACGUGGAUAACCUACCUAUAAGACUGGGAUAACUUCGGGAAACCGGAGCUAAUACCGGAUAAUAUUUUGAACCGCAUGGUUCAAAAGUGAAAGACGGUCUUGCUGUCACUUAUAGAUGGAUCCGCGCUGCAUUAGCUAGUUGGUAAGGUAACGGCUUACCAAGGCAACGAUGCAUAGCCGACCUGAGAGGGUGAUCGGCCACACGGGAACUGAGACACGGUCCAGACUACUACGGGAGGCAGCAGUAGGGAAUCUUCCGCAAUGGGCGAAAGCCUGACGGAGCAACGCCGCGUGAGUGAUGAAGGUCUUCGGAUCGUAAAACUCUGUUAUUAGGGAAGAACAUAUGUGUAAGUAACUGUGCACAUCUUGACGGUACCUAAUCAGAAAGCCACGGCUAACUACGUG